CCCUCUUUUCUAAAAUAAUGAAUAAUCCCCGGUUUUUCCAUGAAACAAGCCGGCGUAUCAGCAGGUAACGGCAUCAAUAACGCGUCGCGUGUAAACAGAGAACGAACAAAAAAAUCAUUCACGGCCCUUUUCAAACCGGCGUGCUUUUCAUCAGCGCUAUUACAGGUCCCAUUCGCAUUAUCGGAUCGCGCCGCGCUGCAUAACCAAGGUGCUGACAAGCCCUGAUUACCCAAUAACUCCCGCGCUCCUCUCGGGCAGGUUCACCGAGAGGACAGGAACGCGCGGCCUUCCUGCGGGGCAGGCCGCCCGCCAGCCUCCCUCCGGCCCCGCCAGCCCCUGCCUCCCGCUCCUGCGCACCCCGUGGCCGCCCUGGCGCUUCCUGAGAGGGGAACGAGGGGUUUUCUUCUCGAUUGUUUCGGGGAACCAUUUAUUGUGCAUCGGAGGAGGAGGGGGAACGGGACGACGGGACGGCAACGGCCGACAAAGCCGUCCCUCGCCCGGCCAGGCGCUGCAAGGAGGGAGGAGGACGCUCUCGCCAGCUUUCUCUGGGUGCUCGCUAGCCAUCCACCUUCUGCUCUCCCCUUUGCACGCUGCACCUCUUGCAAGAUGGACGGCUUAAAAAAAAAAAUUACAAGCGGUUUCAGCAGUCCUAAGCGUUUCUCGUGUUUGGACCCGACCCCGCUGCAAUCGGAGGCCGGUCGGAGGACGCGCUGGGCGCUCGCUCCUUCUAGCGACUGGGGCUGGAGCGCUAAUGGGAAGCAGCCGCCCAAGUUGGAGGCCAGAUGUGCAGCCAGAGCCGCACCGAAAGGGAGCUGGUGCCAUUAGGACGGGGAUCUAACGCAGGCUAAUUCCCCCUCCAUGUCACUCUCCUAAUUCCUUGCAGACAACUCCUUCUCCGUACCCUAACGAGUACGCACAUAUCAAAGGCAAUCAAGCAAAAUAAACAUUUGCAACAAAUU
Molecule: long non-coding RNA, 959 nt
Organism: Cygnus olor (mute swan)
Lineage: Eukaryota; Metazoa; Chordata; Aves; Anseriformes; Anatidae
Exons: 2
Source: RefSeq, a predicted model, not a curated record